GAUGAACGCUGGCGGCGUGCCUAAUACAUGCAAGUCGAGCGAACACACGAGGAGCUCGUGCCCCUGACGUUAGCGGGUGACGGGCGAGUAACACGUGGAUAACCUUCCUAUAAGACUGGGAUAACUUCGGGAAACCGGAUCCAAUACUGGAGCAUAUAUUGAACCGGUGGGUUCAAUAGUGAAACACGGCUUUCGUGAUUGUAAUAGAUGGUGCCGGGUCGCAUUAUCUAGUUGGUAAGGUAACGGCCUACCAAGGCUACGAUGCGUAGCCGACCUGAGAGGGUGAUCGGCCACACUGGAACUGAGACACGGUCCAGACUCCUACGGGAGGCAGCAGUGGGGAAUAUUGCACAAAGGGCGCAAGCCUGACCCAGCCAUACCGCGUGAGUGAAGAAGGCCUUCGGAUCGUAAAGCUCUGUUAUUAGGGAAGAACAACUGUGUAAGAAAAUCUGCACGUCUUGACGGUACCUAAACAGUAAGCACCGGCUAACUUCGUG
Molecule: ribosomal RNA, 497 nt
Filed under: uncultured bacterium
Lineage: Bacteria
Description: partial 16S ribosomal RNA
Rfam family: Bacterial small subunit ribosomal RNA
Source: RNAcentral